RNAcentral lists this ribosomal RNA (465 nucleotides) under uncultured bacterium. Its description in RNAcentral is "partial 16S ribosomal RNA". It matches the Rfam family "Bacterial small subunit ribosomal RNA", at positions 338 to 795 of the family's 1533-position model. The record is from RNAcentral.
CCUACGUGCGGCAGCAGUAGGGAAUCUUCCACAAUGGGCGAAAGCCUGAUGGAGCAACGCCGCGUGGGUGAAGAAGGUCUUCGGAUCGUAAAACCCUGUUGUUAGAGAAGAAAGUGCGUGAGAGUAACUGUUCACGUUUCGACGGUAUCUAACCAGAAAGCCACGGCUAACUACGUGCCAGCAGCCGCGGUAAUACGUAGGUGGCAAGCGUUAUCCGGAUUUAUUGGGCGUAAAGGGAACGCAGGCGGUCUUUUAAGUCUGAUGUGAAAGCCUUCGGCUUAACCGGAGUAGUGCAUUGGAAACUGGGAGACUUGAGUGCAGAAGAGGAGGGUGGAAGUCCAUGUGUAGCGGUGAAAUGCGUAGAUAUAUGGAAGAACACCAGUGGCGAAAGCGGCUCUCUGGUCUGUAACUGACGCUGAGGUGCGAAAGCGUGGGUAGCAAACAGGAUUAGAUACCCCAGUAGUC